GAUGAACGCUGGCGGUAUGCCUAACACAUGCAAGUCGUACGAGAGUUUUUAACUCUAGUGGCGGACGGGUGAGUAACACGUGAGAAUUUGCCUUUAGGAGGGGGAUAACAAUUGGAAACGAAUGCUAAUACCCCAUAUGCUUUUGAGUGAAAUGGAUUUUAUCCGCCUAGAGAGAAGCUCGCGGCUGAUUAGCUUGUUGGUAAGGUAAGAGCUUACCAAGGCGACGAUCAGUAUCUGGUUUGAGAGGACGAUCAGACACACUGGAACUGAGACACGGUCCAGACUCCUACGGGAGGCAGCAGUGGGGAAGUUUUCCGCAAUGGGCGAAAGCCUGACGGAGCAAUACCGCGUGAGGGAAGAAUGCCUAUGGGUUGUAAACCUCUUUUUUCUAGGGAGGAAUAAAAUGACGUGUACCUGAAGAAUAAGCAUCGGCUAACUCCGUG
Molecule: ribosomal RNA, 443 nt
Filed under: uncultured bacterium
Lineage: Bacteria
Description: bacterial SSU rRNA
Rfam family: Bacterial small subunit ribosomal RNA
Source: RNAcentral